GAUGAAGAACGUAGCGAAAUGCGAUAAGUAAUGUGAAUUGCAGAAUUCAGUGAAUCAUCGAAUCUUUGAACGCACAUUGCGCCCGCCAGUAUUCUGGCGGGCAUGCCUGUUCGAGCGUCAUUUCAACCAUCAAGCCCCCGGCUUGUGUUGGGGACCUGCGGCUGCCGCAGGCCCUGAAAAGCAGUGGCGGGCUCGCUGUCACACCGAGCGUAGUAGCAGACAUCUCGCUCUGGGCGUGCUGCGGGUUCCGGCCGUUAAACCACCUUCAUAACCCAAGGUUGACCUCGGAUCAGGUAGGAAGACCCGCUGAACUUAAGCAUAUCAAUAAGCGGAGGA
This 336-nucleotide unclassified non-coding RNA is filed under the name soil metagenome. RNAcentral describes it as "partial contains 5.8S ribosomal RNA, internal transcribed spacer 2, and large subunit ribosomal RNA". The stretch from base 1 to 120 matches the Rfam family "5.8S ribosomal RNA", at positions 35 to 154 of the family's 154-position model. The record is from RNAcentral.